AGAUUGAACGCUGGCGGCAUGCCUUACACAUGCAAGUCGAACGGCAGCACGGGAGCAAUCCUGGUGGCGAGUGGCGAACGGGUGAGUAAUAUAUCGGAACGUGCCCAGUAGUGGGGGAUAGCCCGGCGAAAGCCGGAUUAAUACCGCAUACGACCUGAGGGUGAAAGCGGGGGAUCGCAAGACCUCGCGCUACUGGAGCGGCCGAUAUCAGAUUAGCUAGUUGGUGGGUAAAGGCCUACCAAGGCAACGAUCUGUAGUUGGUCUGAGAGGACGACCAGCCACACUGGACUGAGACACGGCCCAGACUCCUACGGGAGGCAGCAGUGGGGAAUUUUGGGACAAGUGGGCGCAAGCCUGAUCCAGCAAUGCCGCGUGCAGGAAGAAGGCCGUUGGUUGUAACGUGUCUUUUGUCGAGGGAAGAAUCGUUACGUCGGUACGUAACGUACCCCGGG
RNAcentral lists this ribosomal RNA (452 nucleotides) under uncultured soil bacterium. RNAcentral's name for it is "bacterial SSU rRNA". It matches the Rfam family "Bacterial small subunit ribosomal RNA", at positions 26 to 484 of the family's 1533-position model. The record is from RNAcentral.